This is a non-coding RNA of Cordylochernes scorpioides, 73 nucleotides long. NCBI's taxonomy places the organism in Eukaryota, Metazoa, Arthropoda, Arachnida, Pseudoscorpiones, Chernetidae. The record is from the annotation of a GenBank genome assembly.
UCCAGGGUAGCCUAGUGGACAUGGCAUCUGCCCGGUAAGCGGAACACUAUGGGUUCAAUUCCUAUCCCUAGAC